This 468-nucleotide ribosomal RNA is filed under the name uncultured bacterium. RNAcentral describes it as "partial 16S ribosomal RNA". It matches the Rfam family "Bacterial small subunit ribosomal RNA", at positions 28 to 507 of the family's 1533-position model. The record is from RNAcentral.
GACGAACGCUGGCGGCGUGCUUAACACAUGCAAGUCGAACGGAAAGGCCCUGCUUUUGUGGGGUGCUCGAGUGGCGAACGGGUGAGUAACACGUGAGUAACCUGCCCUUGACUUUGGGAUAACUUCAGGAAACUGGGGCUAAUACCGGAUAGGAGCUCCUGCUGCAUGGUGGGGGUUGGAAAGUUUCGGCGGUUGGGGAUGGACUCGCGGCUUAUCAGCUUGUUGGUGGGGUAGUGGCUUACCAAGGCUUUGACGGGUAGCCGGCCUGAGAGGGUGACCGGCCACAUUGGGACUGAGAUACGGCCCAGACUCCUACGGGAGGCAGCCGUGGGGAAUAUUGCACAAUGGGCGGAAGCCUGAUGCAGCCACGCCGCGUGCGGGAUGACGGCCUUCGGGUUGUAAACCGCUUUCGCCUGUGACGAAGCGUGAGUGACGGUAAUGGGUAAAGAAGCACCGGCUAACUACGUG